AGUGAACGCUGGCGGUAGGCCUAACACAUGCAAGUCGAACGGCAGCACAGUAAGAGCUUGCUCUUACGGGUGGCGAGUGGCGGACGGGUGAGGAAUACAUCGGAAUCUACUUUUUCGUGGGGGAUAACGUAGGGAAACUUACGCUAAUACCGCAUACGACCUACGGGUGAAAGCAGGGGAUCUUCUGACCUUGCGCGAUUGAAUGAGCCGAUGUCGGAUUAGCUAGUUGGCGGGGUAAAGGCUCACCAAGGCGACGCUCCGUAGCUGGUCUGAGAGGAUGAUGAGGCGCACUAGUGCUGUGACACGGUCCAGACGCCUACGGAGGGCUGCAGUGGGGAAUAUUGGACAAUUGGCGCAAGCCUGGUCCAGCCAUACCGCGUGGUUGAAGAAGGCCUUCGGGUUGUAAAGCCCUUUUGUUUGGAAAGAAAAGCAGCAGGUUAAUCACCCGCUGUUUUGACGGUACCCAAAGAAUAAGCACCGGCUAACUUCGUG
Molecule: ribosomal RNA, 492 nt
Filed under: uncultured bacterium
Lineage: Bacteria
Description: partial 16S ribosomal RNA
Rfam family: Bacterial small subunit ribosomal RNA
Source: RNAcentral